GAUGAACGCUGGCGGCGUGCCUAACACAUGCAAGUCGAACGGAGAUUACGGACGGAAGUUUUCGGAUGGAAGGCUGUAAUUCUUAGUGGCGGACGGGUGAGUAACGCGUGGGCAACCUGCACUAUACAGGGGGAUAGCAGCUGGAAACGGCUGGUAAGACCGCAUAAGUCGGCGAGACCGCAUGGUUUUGCCGGGAAAUGAGCAAUCAGGUAUAGGAUGGGCCCGCGUCCGAUUAGCCAGUUGGCAGGGUAAAAGCCUACCAAAGCAACGAUCGGUAGCCGGACUGAGAGGUCGGACGGCCACAGUGGGACUGAGACACGGCCCAAACUCCUACGGGAGGCAGCAGUGGGGGAUAUUGCACAAUGGAGGAAGCUCUGAUGCAGCGACGCCGCGUGAGUGAAGAAGUAUUUCGGUAUGUAAAGCUCUAUCAGCAGGGAAGAUGAUGACGGUACCUGACGAAGAAGCCCCGGCUAACUACGUG
Molecule: ribosomal RNA, 481 nt
Filed under: uncultured bacterium
Lineage: Bacteria
Description: partial 16S ribosomal RNA
Rfam family: Bacterial small subunit ribosomal RNA
Source: RNAcentral